Haliotis rubra (blacklip abalone) is the source of this 269-nucleotide long non-coding RNA. RefSeq lists it as uncharacterized. The transcript has 3 exons. The record is from RefSeq and is a predicted model, not a curated record. NCBI's taxonomy places the organism in Eukaryota, Metazoa, Mollusca, Gastropoda, Lepetellida, Haliotidae.
CGGUAGUCCGGUCCAACUGAACGUCACGAAAGGUAACGUCGCAGACACGUGGCCAGUACUCAUGUAUUCGAGCGAGACAACGGACGCUACACAGGGACAGGCUGUAACACAACAGUGUAUCUUCAGCGGCAGACCCGUUCCAGUAGUUACCUGGUACCGUGACGACAAGCAAGUGACUAACACUACUCGUGUACAGCUAUCUUAUACCACCGUUACUAUCAAGAACGUGUCUGAUGGGGACGCAGGAAUAUAUCGAUGUACUGGAAAGA